UCAGUAGUCAUAUGCUUGUCUCAAAGAUUAAGCCAUGCAUGUCUAAGUAUAAACUGCUUUAUACUGUGAAACUGCGAAUGGCUCAUUAAAUCAGUUAUAGUUUAUUUGAUGGUACUUACUUACUCGGAUACCCGUAGUAAUUCUAGAGCUAAUACGUGCGUACAUCCCGACUUCUGGAAGGGACGUAUUUAUUAGAUAAAAGGCCGACCGGGCUUGCCCGACUCGCGGUGACUCAUGAUAACUUCACGAAUCGCAUGGCCUUGCGCCGGCGAUGUUUCAUUCAAAUUUCUGCCCUAUCAACUUUUGAUGGUAGGAUAGAGGCCUACCAUGGUGGUAACGGGUGACGGAGAAUUAGGGUUCGAUUCCGGAGAGGGAGCCUGAGAAACGGCUACCACAUCCAAGGAAGGCAGCAGGCGCGCAAAUUACCCAAUCCUGAUACAGGGAGGUAGUGACAAUAAAUAACAAUACCGGGCCUUUGGUCUGGUAAUUGGAAUGAGUACAACCUAAACACCUUAACGAGG
This 521-nucleotide ribosomal RNA is filed under the name uncultured eukaryote. RNAcentral's name for it is "SSU rRNA". It matches the Rfam family "Eukaryotic small subunit ribosomal RNA", at positions 17 to 542 of the family's 1831-position model. The record is from RNAcentral.